UGAGGAAUAUUGGUCAAUGGGCGCAAGCCUGAACCAGCCAUCCCGCGUGCAGGAAGACGGCGCUAUGCGUUGUAAACUGCUUUUCCAGGGAGAGAAACUUGCGCACGUGUUGCGCAAUUGACGGUACCCUGGGAAUAAGCAUCGGCUAACUCCGUGCCAGCAGCCGCGGUAAUACGGAGGAUGCGAGCGUUAUCCGGAUUCAUUGGGUUUAAAGGGUGCGUAGGCGGACUAUUAAGUCAGUGGUGAAAUCCUGCAGCUUAACUGCA
This 266-nucleotide ribosomal RNA is filed under the name uncultured bacterium. RNAcentral's name for it is "partial 16S ribosomal RNA". It matches the Rfam family "Bacterial small subunit ribosomal RNA", at positions 355 to 617 of the family's 1533-position model. The record is from RNAcentral.